GGACGGGUGAGUAACGCGUGAGCAACCUGUCCCUACAGGGGAUAACACAGCGAAAGUUGUACUAAUACCGCAUAAGACCACGGGGAGACAUCUUUCAGGGGUCAAAGGAGCAAUCCGGGUAAGGGGUGGGCUCGCGUCCGAUUAGAUAGUUGGUGAGGUAACGGCCCACCAAGUCGACGAUCGGUAGCCGACCUGAGAGGGUGAUCGGCCACAUUGGGACUGAGACACGGCCCAAACUCCUACGGGAGGCAGCAGUGGGGAAUAUUGGGCAAUGGGGGAACCCUUGACCCAGCAACGCCGCGUGAGGGAAGAAGGUUUUCGGAUCGUAAACCUCUGUCCUUGGUGAAGAGUGAGAGACGGUAGCCAAGGAGGAAGCCCCGGCUAACUACGUGCCAGCAGCCGC
RNAcentral lists this ribosomal RNA (403 nucleotides) under uncultured bacterium. Its description in RNAcentral is "bacterial SSU rRNA". It matches the Rfam family "Bacterial small subunit ribosomal RNA", at positions 100 to 518 of the family's 1533-position model. The record is from RNAcentral.